Mustela erminea (ermine) is the source of this 141-nucleotide long non-coding RNA. RefSeq lists it as uncharacterized. The transcript has 2 exons. Lineage: Eukaryota; Metazoa; Chordata; Mammalia; Carnivora; Mustelidae. The record is from RefSeq and is a predicted model, not a curated record.
GACAAUACUGAAGCUGCAACAGCAAUUGGUGACGGAAGUAGAAUGCUCUUUAAUAAAUAAAACUGGCUUCCAGAAUGGCUGGAUAGGAAGAUCCUCAAUGAAACAAACAUCUGGUUGUGUUUUAUUUUAUUAAAAAAGAAA